AUUGAACGCUGGCGGCAUGCCUUACACAUGCAAGUCGAACGGCAGCGGACCUUCGGGUGCCGGCGAGUGGCGAACGGGUGAGUAAAGUAUCGGAACGUACCUUUCAGUGGGGGAGUAACUGUCCGAAAGGACAGCUAAUACCGCAUAUUCUGUGAGCAGGAAAGCAGGGGAUCGCAAGACCUUGCGCUGAUUGAGCGGCCGAUAUCAGAUUAGCUAGUUGGUGAGGUAAAGGCUCACCAAGGCGACGAUCUGUAGCGGGUCUGAGAGGAUGAUCCGCCACACUGGAACUGAGACACGGUCCAGACUCCUACGGGAGGCAGCAGUGGGGAAUUUUGACAAUGGGGGCGAACCCUGAUCCACGCCAUGCCGCGUGAGUGAAGAAAGGCCGUCGUGUUAGUA
Molecule: ribosomal RNA, 399 nt
Filed under: uncultured bacterium
Lineage: Bacteria
Description: bacterial SSU rRNA
Rfam family: Bacterial small subunit ribosomal RNA
Source: RNAcentral